Molecule: ribosomal RNA, 890 nt
Filed under: Marasmius delectans
Lineage: Eukaryota; Fungi; Basidiomycota; Agaricomycetes; Agaricales; Marasmiaceae
Description: eukaryotic LSU rRNA
Rfam family: Eukaryotic large subunit ribosomal RNA
Source: RNAcentral
AGGAAAAGAAACUAACCAGGAUUCCCCUAGUAACUGCGAGUGAAGAGGGAAAAGCUCAAAUUUAAAAUCUGGCAGCCUCGCUGUCCGAGUUGUAAUUUAGAGAAGUGUUACCCGCGCUGGACCGUGUAUAAGUCUCCUGGAAUGGAGCGUCAUAGAGGGUGAGAAUCCCGUCUUUGACACGGACUACCAGGGCAUUGUGGUGCGCUCUCGAAGAGUCGAGUUGUUUGGGAAUGCAGCUCUAAAUGGGUGGUAAAUUCCAUCUAAAGCUAAAUAUUGGCGAGAGACCGAUAGCGAACAAGUACCGUGAGGGAAAGAUGAAAAGAACUUUGGAAAGAGAGUUAAACAGUACGUGAAAUUGCUGAAAGGGAAACGCUUGAAGUCAGUCGCGUUGGCCGGGGAUCAGCCUUGCUUCUUGUGAGGUGUACUUCCUGGUUGACGGGUCAGCAUCAGUUUCGACCAUUGGAGAAAGGCUUGGGGAAUGUGGCACUUCGGGUGUGUUAUAGCCCCUUGUCGUAUACAGUGGUUGGGACUGAGGAGCUCAGCACGCCGCAAGGCCGGGUUUCGACCACGUUCGUGCUUAGGAUGCUGGCAAAAUGGCUUUAAGCGACCCGUCUUGAAACACGGACCAAGGAGUCUAACAUGCUUGCGAGUGUUUGGGUGGAAAACCCGAGCGCGUAAUGAAAGUGAAAGUUGGGAUCUCUGUCGUGGAGAGCACCGACGCCCGGACCUGAUGUUUACUGACGGAUCUGCGGUAGAGCACGUAUGUUGGGACCCGAAAGAUGGUGAACUAUGCCUGAAUAGGGUGAAGCCAGAGGAAACUCUGGUGGAGGCUCGUAGCGAUUCUGACGUGCAAAUCGAUCGUCAAAUUUGGGUAUAGGGGCGAAAGAACU